RNAcentral lists this ribosomal RNA (658 nucleotides) under Lactobacillus crispatus. RNAcentral describes it as "bacterial SSU rRNA". It matches the Rfam family "Bacterial small subunit ribosomal RNA", at positions 22 to 647 of the family's 1533-position model. The record is from RNAcentral. Lineage: Bacteria; Bacillati; Bacillota; Bacilli; Lactobacillales; Lactobacillaceae.
GCUCAGGACGAACGCUGGCGGCGUGCUUAAUACAUGCAAGUCGAGCGAGCGGAACUAACAGAUUUACUUCGGUAAUGACGUUAGGAAACCGAGCGCCGGAUGGGUGAGUAACACGUGGGGAACCUGCCCCAUAGUCUGGGAUACCACUUGGAAACAGGUGCUAAUACCGGAUAAGAAAGCAGAUCGCAUGAUCAGCUUUUAAAAGGCGGCGUAAGCUGUCGCUAUGGGAUGGCCCCGCGGUGCAUUAGCUAGUUGGUAAGGUAAAGGCUUACCAAGGCGAUGAUGCAUAGCCGAGUUGAGAGACUGAUCGGCCACAUUGGGACUGAGACACGGCCCAAACUCCUACGGGAGGCAGCAGUAGGGAAUCUUCCACAAUGGACGCAAGUGUGAUGGAGCAACGCCGCGUGAGUGAAGAAGGUUUUCGGAUCGUAAAGCUCUGUUGUUGGUGAAGAAGGAUAGAGGUAGUAACUGGCCUUUAUUUGACGGUAAUCAACCAGAAAGUCACGGCUAACUACGUGCCAGCAGCCGCGGUAAUACGUAGGUGGCAAGCGUUGUCCGAAUUUAUUGGGCGUAAAGCGAGCGCAGGCGGAAGAAUAAGUCUGAUGUGAAAGCCCUCGGCUUAACCGAGGAACUGCAUCGGAAACUGUUUUUCUUGAGU